GCACCAUGAGAAGAUGACGGCAGAGAUCUGGGCGACGCGUCUACAAGCCAAGCGACACCAAAGGUGGCCAGCAGCCCAUGUGAAGCUGGAGGAGAGGCCUCGAAUAAAUGCUCCCUUACAGCGUUCAGGGGGAACUGACCCUGUCCACACCUUGACCUUGAACUUCUGGGCUCCAGAACUGUGAGACAGCAUGUUCUGUUGUUGAAGAUACAACGGUGGAAUAAAAUAUCUUCCAGCCAACAUAUUUUUUGGAGACGGAAUCUCACUCUGUCACCUGGUUGAAGUGCAGCAGCGCGAUCAUGGCUCACUGCAACCUCUGCCUCCCGGUUUCAAGUGAUUCUCCUGCCUCCGCCUCCCGAGUAGCUGGGAUUACAGGCAUGUGCCACCCACCACGCCUGGGUAAUUUUUGUAUUUUUACUAGAGACAGGGUUUCACUAUGUGGGCUGGGCUGGUCUCAAACUCCUGACCUCUGGUGAUCUGCCCACUUCGGCCUCUCAAAGUGCUGGGAUUACAGGCAUGAGCCCCCGCACCCGGUUGCAACCAACUUUUUUGUGGAAUAUAGGAUCUUGAUGUUUGGAUGCCUGAAGGCAGAAGCUGUUGCACAUGGAAUGGAUUAAAGUUUUCCCCUCUGCAACCAAAAAUCCUUGGGGUCCCAGGAGCAAAAGAUGCUCCAUGGCACAGGACAAUUCAAGAAGGCCCGAGGUGAUAUUGAAGACUGCAGAGACAUCCAGCUCAGUUGUGUCUCCGGAGGUGUCCAGACUUUGCAGACAGACGUUGCACAUAAAGAGCUGAAAAACUGAGGAAGCUGAGCUGGAGAAGGAAGUCACUUCUACUCAGACUUGACCUGCGUCUGAUGCUAUGGGGCCUCUUAGGGUUACCUCAUGCUUCAUGCACCCCUUUCUCUGUUCUUCAGCAGAAGGCAGGGUGUAGGGAAGCGGGACUGUGCCUCCUUUCUCCCUGCCAGGCCUGACUCUCCAGGCCAAGAGACACCAUUAAGGAGUAUAAUUUGUUGAUCCAGGCUCUCCUUGCGUUUCAGUGCAGAGUGGCAUCGUUUUCUUUAUGACCUCGUAAAGUCACAGCCGAGAGGCCGAUUUGGAAAACAAACUGCCUCAGGUUGACAGAUAAUUAGAUACAGGGGACAUAUUAUAUGCCUUUGCAUAUAAAUGUGCUCCGAGGCGUGUUGGUUCAUCUGAAGUUGAGGUUAAAGGCGCGCCAGGUAUUCCUGACACAUCAGGAUAUAUAUUUUCAUACAGUCUCAGGUGCUGUGUUGGUUUUAUAGGCCUUUCAUCCUGGUGCUGACGGAUGGGGUGUGAUUGUGACCCAACUUAGAAGAAAGGGACUUCCCUUGCCCAGGGGCCUCCUGGCGUUUUUGUUUUGUGUUCUCCCUCUCCACCCCCACUUUCUCUUCUUCCUUGGGAAGGGAACUGUUCUUUGGACCUAGGAUUCUGCCGUGAGUGACUAAUGGCCUGAGUAGGAGGGACCGGGACUCAUUUUUCUUUUCUGGACUCUAAUAGGCCCAAUUAAUUCAGCUACAACAUGGGCCCUUACAAGCCUGGGACAAGCCUGGGUGGAAUUCUAUAUUGAGGAGUUAAUCCUAAUAAAAAAUGAUUACAGAAGAGGACGCCUCCACCCACAGGAAGGAGCCAGCACGGUGGGGAGCUGUUUCACCAGGGGAGUGUUCUCAGCAGCUGCCACACGUGGAGUUGUGGAGGUAGCAAGCAGAGUUGGGGGAGGAGGGGGAGCCCUGGUUCCUGCUCUUCCAUGAUCAGUGUGCAGCCUUGAGCAUGGCACUCCCUCUCUUCCCAGCUUAGUGUCCUCAUCCGUAAAAUGAGGGGCUCUCUGAGAGUCUGCCAGGGCCGCUGUCUGAUCUGUGACAGCGUGGCAUGUGGUGUGGUAUGUAAUGCACGUUCCUGCCUGCAGGGAGGCCCUCUCCCUUCCCCCACCAGGCUUCUGGGCAGCACUUGCUGUCAUCCUUGCUUCUGGAACAGGACUGUGCUGUUUUCCAGGCCAAAUUGGAGGGCUGAGGGGGUCUAUUAAGAAGACUCUGGGGAGAUGGUGGAACAAUUCUGUGCUUGAAAUUACCUUCCUCUUUAAAUCUUGCCAUGGCCCUAUUAGAAAAGCUAAGGGGGCAGGAGGAGAGGAGCGGGCAGGGAGAGGAGAGAGAGAGAGAAGAAGGAAGAAGGAAAGGGAAAGGUAAGAAACCCCAUAGCCCGACCCUCAGCCCUGUUGAAGGAGAUUAUAUAAAUAGAGUCGCUGUCACUUUGAUGAAUUAAAUCCUCCGUUAAUUAGGACGCAUCCAUUUAAGGGUUGUCCAGCCAGAUAGUCCUUUUCCCUUCCCAGCAAGUCAUAGCUCAGGGAGGAGGCAUGAGAGGGAUCGUUUUCUGUUUCUGGCUUGAUUGCUGGUUUCUUUCUUACUAGGCUUCAUUAAUUAUCCUGGAAUGUGGUCACCCAGUUUUCUUCAACAUGGGCCAUUCUCCUUUUAGCAGGAUCUUGGCAGUGGACUGCCACGGGAGCUCUGGGGAAAAAGGACCAGUUGGACUCCAGUACCUCCUGAGAGACCACCACCCUCCAUGCCUCCAGCUCAUGCCCAGCUCUGAGUCAGACGGACUCUUCCUGUUGUACUGCGAGGUUCUGCAAACCUUGAAGGGCAAACACAGUGAGGGUCUCUGACUUGCUGUGUGGACAGCCCACUCUCUGACAGCCCAGAUCAUCUGAAGCUAUCCCUGGGCUGGGAGCUGGAAGCCAUUCUUGUGAACCACUCCUUAUACCUUGAGCGAAGCCUCUUUGGGUCCCAGAAGUCUGAAGCUCCAGCUGCCUGGCAAGACUGAGUCUAGAUGAUUUCUUGGGUACCAGUAGUUUGGCAUUUAAAAAUACUGGAUUAACUGCAGUGUAAACUUAGAUUGCAUUUCAGAUUGUAAACAAUAACCCCCGUGCUUCAUGUGAUGUUAAAUCAGAAAUGAGCUAUUAGCCAAGCUAGUCCUCUUAUGAAUGAGCCCCUAACCCUGAUCCAGGGAUCGUUGAAUGAAAAUCAUCAAAAUGAUUUAUCUUCACUUUACCUAUUGUCUCACAAGAAUCUCAUCACUCAGGGAAAAGGAGGGUGUUCUUCAGGGAACGGAGGGCAUGAGGAAGGGGGAUUUCCUUAUAUCUCAACUUUCAGAGGGAGCUGAGUUGUAAACAGAUGGAACAAGGUGUGUACGAGAAGCCUCUUAGAUUUAGUCUUUCAUAUCAAGGCUCUUGCUGAAAAUCCUGGCACAGCUGUGAAAUGAGGGGAGCUCUGACACACAGAGACACGCUCCUUGCCUCACCAACCUUCCCAUACACAGUCAUGCGCACAGAGAGCAGGUACCAAUACUGAAAAUGCCCUUCCGGAGUUUCCUCAGCUUAAACCCUUGACAGCAUUAAGUGAGGAAGGAGUUUCCUUGACCUGGGGAAGAAGAACCAACUCAUAAACAUGGAACUGUGCCCACUGCCUUUUCCUUUGCUCUGUGGAUUGGCUGUGGUUCUGCCCUGGCACUCGGAUGUCAAGUUGCUCUGGCUGUUUGGGAGGAAGCCCAGCCUGGGUCAGGUGGUCAUAAGCCAGAGGCCCUGUCCUGUCCCCAGGGUUGGCCUCCCUCUGGGGUCCAGCAUGGCCCCAGUGCUGAGGCUCCCACUGCUGGGGAAUGUGCCCUCUCCUCUCUUUGUUUCCAUACCAAGGGGAUCUGCAGGGUAGAGGGCAAAUUAUUCUUAGCAGAUUGGGGCUAUGGGUAAACCAGAAGGGAUGAGGGAGAGAGGAGAGAGGAGAGGAAAGGGAAGGAGAGGGGAGGGCAGGGGAUAGGUAGAGGAGAGAGACAGCAAGAAAAAAUAG
This 3844-nucleotide long non-coding RNA is filed under the name Homo sapiens (human). RNAcentral's name for it is "LHRI_LNC1390.4". The record is from RNAcentral. Lineage: Eukaryota; Metazoa; Chordata; Mammalia; Primates; Hominidae.